RNAcentral lists this long non-coding RNA (1775 nucleotides) under Nicotiana benthamiana. RNAcentral describes it as "long non-coding RNA (NBEN_LNC031577)". Lineage: Eukaryota; Viridiplantae; Streptophyta; Magnoliopsida; Solanales; Solanaceae. The record is from RNAcentral.
GAACUGCCGAGAUAGGGGUGCUGGACAUAUUUGUGAUGUAGAACAAAGACUUGAAUCAUCUAUUGGAGACUGAUCUUGAUCCAAGACAGUGGUGCCACUCUGCUCAGUAGUUGCAGAAUCUUGCCUUCCACAACUGCUUGAGGUAUUUUGGUAUGGCAAGGGGUCAGCUUCACAGUAUUCCAUUUGUGGUAUUGAACUUUCAACCAAUCCUGGUUCCAACUUAACAAGUAGUUGCAGAAUCUUGCCUUCCACAAUUGCUUGAGGUAUUUUGGUAUGGCAAGGGGUCAGCUUCACAGUAUUCCAUUUGUGGUAUUGAACUUUCAACCAAUCCUGAUUCCAACUUAACAGCCUUUGUCUCCACACCUCCAAGAUUGUUACUACACAAGCCAACCAUAUUUGUAGAAUUCAUCCCAGGACUGAUAAGAAAUUAAAUAAGGGAAAGUAAGUACAAAUAAAUAGGCUAAAAUAGAUUAGAGAACUAGAGGGCAAACAUGAUAGAACUUUGAAGAAGAGUGAAAGCAUAAAAGGAACAUUUUCCCACGGAAGCAGAUAAGCAAGACCAGUGAUAACUUCGGACUCGUUUGGUUUGGAAAAAGGUUAUCCUGGGACUAUAAUCCCACAUCCAAUAUGGGAUGAUAAUACCAAGUCUUUGUACAAAAUAUUAUACUGGUAUUAGCUAAUACCAAUAACCAAACACUGGACAAAUGUAAUCACAUAUUUUAUACGCCGAUUUUUACUCCAAAUCAUAUAAUUUAACACUUAGCAGUUAAAAAUUAAGGUGUGUGGCCUAGUGGUCAAAGAAGUGGGCUAAAAACCCUGAACUCUCGGGCUCAAAUCCAGUGGAGGCAAAAAUGUUUGGUGACUUCUUCUCCAUUUGCCCAAACCUUGGUGCACAGAGUUACCUAGUACCAGUCCACUGCCAUUAUCCAAAAAAUAAAAUAUAUCACUUGGUUAAGUGAGAAAUGUGUUGGUUUGAUGUAAACACAAUGUGCAUGUAAGUCUAAUGUACAUCUCCAAGGUAAGAAAAACUCAAUAAAAAUAAUGGCAACGAAAUCAAACUUCUUGAAGAUAACGCCAGACCUGAUGAAAGGAAUUCAAACAGUUUCCGGAACAAAAUUUCCCCAAACCUCAGAGCAGUAGAACACCAAUAUCAAACUUCAGUUUUCUCAGCAUGAACAGCCAUUUUUGUGUCCCCACAACUGCUUCAUAUCGGACGCAACAGCAAGUUCUAGGUCUUCAAAAUUUACUCUUCAAUUUCUUGCAUCCACAUUCAACUUCCUUAUUUAUUUUCCCCUCUCCAACUUAGAAACUCAAAAAAGAUACUAAACGUUAAUGUUGCAGAAACUUCACAAGUGACUGCUUGGUUCAAUUACAGCAGCCAAAUGCGAACAAAAAAAAAUAUGGUGGGCGUUAAUCUGAGUGAAGGAAUUAGGGAUCUAAAGUAGAGGAAAAUUGGAAUCUUUUUGAAGAGGAGGGAAAGAAUUCAAGACACAGUAUUGACAGGGAAUCUGGGGUUAAGAUUUCAAAAAGGUUGAGGACUAAAACGGCAAAGAAAGAUGUUUCGAGGUCCCUCCCCUUUGGUCCCUGUGGAUUAAAGCUCCAAGAGCUAGGGCUGAAUAGGACGAAACCUGUUGACGGACGCCAAUAAAUAAGACGUUAAAUUCGUUGAAGCAGCCGUGGUUCAGUAUGUUGGUAUUUCGCCUUCUAAAAGAAAAAAAUACGAGAACAUGACUUAUGUUUGGGUUAGGUUGAUAAAACAACAACAAGUAUUUGCG